RNAcentral lists this ribosomal RNA (1216 nucleotides) under Pseudomonas fluorescens. RNAcentral's name for it is "bacterial SSU rRNA". It matches the Rfam family "Bacterial small subunit ribosomal RNA", at positions 167 to 1379 of the family's 1533-position model. Lineage: Bacteria; Pseudomonadati; Pseudomonadota; Gammaproteobacteria; Pseudomonadales; Pseudomonadaceae. The record is from RNAcentral.
UACCGCAUACGUCCUACGGGAGAAAGCAGGGGACCUUCGGGCCUUGCGCUAUCAGAUGAGCCUAGGUCGGAUUAGCUAGUUGGUGAGGUAAUGGCUCACCAAGGCGACGAUCCGUAACUGGUCUGAGAGGAUGAUCAGUCACACUGGAACUGAGACACGGUCCAGACUCCUACGGGAGGCAGCAGUGGGGAAUAUUGGACAAUGGGCGAAAGCCUGAUCCAGCCAUGCCGCGUGUGUGAAGAAGGUCUUCGGAUUGUAAAGCACUUUAAGUUGGGAGGAAGGGUUGUAGAUUAAUACUCUGCAAUUUUGACGUUACCGACAGAAUAAGCACCGGCUAACUCUGUGCCAGCAGCCGCGGUAAUACAGAGGGUGCAAGCGUUAAUCGGAAUUACUGGGCGUAAAGCGCGCGUAGGUGGUUCGUUAAGUUGGAUGUGAAAGCCCCGGGCUCAACCUGGGAACUGCAUUCAAAACUGUCGAGCUAGAGUAUGGUAGAGGGUGGUGGAAUUUCCUGUGUAGCGGUGAAAUGCGUAGAUAUAGGAAGGAACACCAGUGGCGAAGGCGACCACCUGGACUGAUACUGACACUGAGGUGCGAAAGCGUGGGGAGCAACAGGAUUAGAUACCCUGGUAGUCCACGCCGUAAACGAUGUCAACUAGCCGUUGGGAGCCUUGAGCUCUUAGUGGCGCAGCUAACGCAUUAAGUUGACCGCCUGGGGAGUACGGCCGCAAGGUUAAAACUCAAAUGAAUUGACGGGGGCCCGCACAAGCGGUGGAGCAUGUGGUUUAAUUCGAAGCAACGCGAAGAACCUUACCAGGCCUUGACAUCCAAUGAACUUUCCAGAGAUGGAUUGGUGCCUUCGGGAGCAUUGAGACAGGUGCUGCAUGGCUGUCGUCAGCUCGUGUCGUGAGAUGUUGGGUUAAGUCCCGUAACGAGCGCAACCCUUGUCCUUAGUUACCAGCACGUUAUGGUGGGCACUCUAAGGAGACUGCCGGUGACAAACCGGAGGAAGGUGGGGAUGACGUCAAGUCAUCAUGGCCCUUACGGCCUGGGCUACACACGUGCUACAAUGGUCGGUACAGAGGGUUGCCAAGCCGCGAGGUGGAGCUAAUCCCAUAAAACCGAUCGUAGUCCGGAUCGCAGUCUGCAACUCGACUGCGUGAAGUCGGAAUCGCUAGUAAUCGCGAAUCAGAAUGUCGCGGUGAAUACGUUCCCGGGC